CCUUUGGCCUUCUCAUAAGGAUGAAAAUGCUUCUGUUUGAUGUUUGGGCCCUGAUGGUCUUGAUCCCUUGCCCAGAGCCAAGACCCAGUGGAAUUGAGACCUUCUUAAAGAAAACCCAAGUAGGCAAAGGGCCUCAGUGGAAAGAGUUUCUCCUGGCGGAUGUCACAAAGAAUUCUGUCCUGCAGUGCUUCUUCUCUUGUGCAGGGAUCCAAAAGGACAUAAGCCUUGGCAUCACUGUGUAUAGCCACCAAAGGAGGUGAUCCUGGAGCUGCAGCCUGCAUGGGUGGCUGUGGAUAAAGCCUUUACAGUGACAUGCCAUGUGCCCAGCGUAGCACCCUUGGAGAACCUCACCCUUACCCUUCUCCAGGGUAACCAAGAACUGUAUAGAAAGAACUUUGUGAGCUUGGCUGUGGCCUCCCAAAGAGCUGAGGUCACCAUCAGUGUCACAGCCCAAAGGGAGAAUGACAGGUGCAAUUUCUCCUCCGUGCCGAACUGGACUUGAGUUCACAAGGUGGCAGUAUCUUUCAAGGCAGCUCACUCAUCAAAGUACUCCGGAUUUUUGAAUUCUCUGAGAGCCCCCAGAUCUGGGUCUCUUCACUUGUGGAGGUUGGGAUGGCAGAGACUGUGAGCUGUGAGGUGGCUAAUGUGUUUCCUGCCAAAGAAGUUAUGUUCCACAUGUUUCUAGGAGAUCAGGAGCUGAGCCUCUUCCUCUCCCGGGAGGGGGACACAGCAUGGGCCAAUGCCACUGUUCGGGCAAUGGAGACUGGUUAUCAGGAGCUGUCCUGCCUCGUAUCUCUGGGUCCAAUGGAACAGAA
Propithecus coquereli (Coquerel's sifaka) is the source of this 815-nucleotide long non-coding RNA. RefSeq lists it as uncharacterized. NCBI's taxonomy places the organism in Eukaryota, Metazoa, Chordata, Mammalia, Primates, Indriidae. The transcript is spliced from 4 exons. The record is from RefSeq and is a predicted model, not a curated record.